GAUGAACGCUGGCGGCGUGCCUAAUACAUGCCAGUCGAGCGGACAGAUGAGAAGCUUCCUCCUCUGACGUUAGCGGCAGACGUGUGAGUAACACGUGUGUAACCUACCUAUCAUACUGGUAUGACUUCGGGAAACCGGAUCUUAUACCGUAUAAUAUAUUCAACCGCAUGGUUCAGUAGUGAAAGACGGGUUUGCUGUCACUUAUAGAUCUAUCCGCUCCGCAUUAGCUAGUUGGUAAGGUAACGGCUUACCAAGGCAACGAUGCGUAGCCGACCUGAGAGGGUGAUCGGCCACACUGGAACUGAGAGACGCACCAGACUCCUACGGGAGGCAGCAGUAGGGAAUCUUCCGCAAUGGGCGAAAGCUUGACGGAGCACGGAAGCGUGAGUCAUGAAGGUCGUCGGAUCGUAAAACUCUGUUAGGAGGGAAGAACAAUUGUGUAAGUACCUAUGCACGUCUUGACGGUACCUAAUGAGAAAGCCACGGCUAACUACGUG
RNAcentral lists this ribosomal RNA (497 nucleotides) under uncultured bacterium. RNAcentral's name for it is "partial 16S ribosomal RNA". It matches the Rfam family "Bacterial small subunit ribosomal RNA", at positions 28 to 507 of the family's 1533-position model. The record is from RNAcentral.